CCUACGGGGGGCAGCAGUGGGGAAUAUUGGACAAUGGGCGAAAGCCUGAUCCAGCCAUGCCGCGUGUGUGAAGAAGGCCUUUUGGUUGUAAAGCACUUUAAGCGAGGAGGAGGCUACCUAGAUUAAUACUCUAGGAUAGUGGACGUUACUCGCAGAAUAAGCACCGGCUAACUCUGUGCCAGCAGCCGCGGUAAUACAGAGGGUGCGAGCGUUAAUCGGAUUUACUGGGCGUAAAGCGUGCGUAGGCGGCUUUUUAAGUCGGAUGUGAAAUCCCUGAGCUUAACUUAGGAAUUGCAUUCGAUACUGGGAAGCUAGAGUAUGGGAGAGGAUGGUAGAAUUCCAGGUGUAGCGGUGAAAUGCGUAGAGAUCUGGAGGAAUACCGAUGGCGAAGGCAGCCUUCUGGCCUAAUACUGACGCUGAGGUACGAAAGCAUGGGGAGC
Molecule: ribosomal RNA, 440 nt
Filed under: Acinetobacter johnsonii
Lineage: Bacteria; Pseudomonadati; Pseudomonadota; Gammaproteobacteria; Moraxellales; Moraxellaceae
Description: bacterial SSU rRNA
Rfam family: Bacterial small subunit ribosomal RNA
Source: RNAcentral